Molecule: transfer RNA, 63 nt
Filed under: Euryhaliotrema johni
Lineage: Eukaryota; Metazoa; Platyhelminthes; Monogenea; Dactylogyridea; Ancyrocephalidae
Description: tRNA-Thr
Source: RNAcentral
GCUGGGAUAGUUUAAGUAAAAUAUUAUUUUUGUAAAAUAGUGAUAACAGGUUGUUUCUUAGCU